GAUGAACGCUGGCGGCGUGCCUAAUACAUGCAAGUCGAGCGAACAGACGAGGAGCUUGCUCCUCUGACGUUAGCGGCGGACGGGUGAGUAACACGUGGAUAACCUACCUAUAAGACUGGGAUAACUUCGGGAAACCGGAGCUAAUACCGGAUAAUAUAUUGAACCGCAUGGUUCAAUAGUGAAAGACGGUUUUGCUGUCACUUAUAGAUGGAUGCGCGCCGCAUUAGCUAGUUGGUAAGGUAACGGCUUACCAAGGCAACGAUGCGUAGCCGACCUGAGAGGGUGAUCGGCCACACUGGAACUGAGACACGGUCCAGACUCCUACGGGAGGCAGCAGUAGGGAAUCUUCCGCAAUGGGCGAAAGCCUGACGGAGCAACGCCGCGUGAGUGAUGAAGGUCUUCGGAUCGUAAAACUCUGUUAUUAGGGAAGAACAAAUGUGUAAGUAACUAUGCACGUCUUGACGGUACCUAAUCAGAAAGCCACGGCUAACUACGUG
RNAcentral lists this ribosomal RNA (497 nucleotides) under uncultured bacterium. RNAcentral's name for it is "partial 16S ribosomal RNA". It matches the Rfam family "Bacterial small subunit ribosomal RNA", at positions 28 to 507 of the family's 1533-position model. The record is from RNAcentral.